CCCGGCCUCGGGCUCCGCAGAGGCGGCGGGCGCUCGCUGCCCUGGUCCUUCAGCACCCGCGGGCCGGGCUGGAGCCGGCCCAGGAAGGUCGUUUCCCUGUAGUUUACACCAUGGCAGGCAGGUUUUGUAGACAUGAAUAGGAAGUUCGCACGCACAAGUCCUGAAGAUGCCAGGGCCAGCAGAAAUGAAGGUGGGAGCUUUUCUCACUGCAAACACAAACAAACGGGGACAAAAGAGCAAAGCCAGAAACACCACCAACCCCAACGUAGAUCAACAUCUUUCUCUUCAGAUGACAGUUUAUUUCCCUCUUCUUCUUCGUCUUCUGAGAGCGAGACAGAUUCAAGUAUUAACGAUUCUACCAACAGAAAAGUUAAGAGAAAGAGAGGACAGAAAAGGAAUAAAAGGAGAA
Molecule: long non-coding RNA, 409 nt
Organism: Myotis davidii
Lineage: Eukaryota; Metazoa; Chordata; Mammalia; Chiroptera; Vespertilionidae
Exons: 4
Source: RefSeq, a predicted model, not a curated record